RNAcentral lists this ribosomal RNA (469 nucleotides) under uncultured Rhodocyclaceae bacterium. RNAcentral's name for it is "bacterial SSU rRNA". It matches the Rfam family "Bacterial small subunit ribosomal RNA", at positions 916 to 1381 of the family's 1533-position model. Lineage: Bacteria; Pseudomonadati; Pseudomonadota; Betaproteobacteria; Rhodocyclales; Rhodocyclaceae. The record is from RNAcentral.
AGACGGGACCCGCACAAGCGGUGGAUGAUGUGGUUAAUUCGAUGCAACGCGAAAACCUUACCCACCUUUGACAUGUACGGAAUCCUCUAGAGAUAGAGGAGUGCUCGAAAGAGAGCCGUAACACAGGUGCUGCAUGGCUGUCGUCAGCUCGUGUCGUGAGAUGUUGGGUUAAGUCCCGCAACGAGCGCAACCCUUGUCAUUAGUUGCCAUCAUUUGGUUGGGCACUCUAAUGAGACUGCCGGUGACAAACCGGAGGAAGGUGGGGAUGACGUCAAGUCCUCAUGGCCCUUAUGGGUAGGGCUUCACACGUCAUACAAUGGUCGGUACAGAGGGUUGCCAACCCGCGAGGGGGAGCUAAUCCCACAAAGCCGAUCGUAGUCCGGAUCGCAGUCUGCAACUCGACUGCGUGAAGUCGGAAUCGCUAGUAAUCGUGGAUCAGCAUGUCACGGUGAAUACGUUCCCGGGUCUU